RNAcentral lists this unclassified non-coding RNA (515 nucleotides) under Metarhizium robertsii. RNAcentral's name for it is "sequence contains ITS1, 5.8S rRNA gene, ITS2". The stretch from base 122 to 275 matches the Rfam family "5.8S ribosomal RNA". Lineage: Eukaryota; Fungi; Ascomycota; Sordariomycetes; Hypocreales; Clavicipitaceae. The record is from RNAcentral.
UCCCAACCCCUGUGAAUUAUACCUUUAAUUGUUGCUUCGGCGGGACUUCGCGCCCGCCGGGGACCCAAACCUUCUGAAUUUUUUAAUAAGUAUCUUCUGAGUGGUUAAAAAAAUGAAUCAAAACUUUCAACAACGGAUCUCUUGGUUCUGGCAUCGAUGAAGAACGCAGCGAAAUGCGAUAAGUAAUGUGAAUUGCAGAAUUCAGUGAAUCAUCGAAUCUUUGAACGCACAUUGCGCCCGUCAGUAUUCUGGCGGGCAUGCCUGUUCGAGCGUCAUUACGCCCCUCAAGUCCCCUGUGGACUUGGUGUUGGGGAUCGGCGAGGCUGGUUUUCCAGCACAGCCGUCCCUUAAAUUAAUUGGCGGUCUCGCCGUGGCCCUCCUCUGCGCAGUAGUAAAACACUCGCAACAGGAGCCCGGCGCGGUCCACUGCCGUAAAACCCCCCAACUUUUUAUAGUUGACCUCGAAUCAGGUAGGACUACCCGCUGAACUUAAGCAUAUCAAUAAGCGGAGGAAA